Small nuclear RNA from Trichosurus vulpecula (common brushtail), 105 nucleotides. The record is from RefSeq and is a predicted model, not a curated record. NCBI's taxonomy places the organism in Eukaryota, Metazoa, Chordata, Mammalia, Diprotodontia, Phalangeridae.
GCUCUCCUGGCCAGUGCAUAUACUAAAAUUGGAAUGAUACAGAGAAGAUUAGCGUGGCCCCUGUGCAAGGAUGACAUGAAAAUCUGUGAAGUGUUGACUAUUUUA